Molecule: non-coding RNA, 2247 nt
Organism: Aegilops tauschii subsp. strangulata
Lineage: Eukaryota; Viridiplantae; Streptophyta; Magnoliopsida; Poales; Poaceae
Source: RefSeq, a predicted model, not a curated record
UGACCACGCCCUCCAAACCCCCCACCCCCCGGGCUGAUCUGUGCAACCCCAUGGGGAUCUAUGGCGGUAGUGCUUGGAGCUCGGCGUCGCCUCCCUCCAGACGCCUGUGGUGUGCGAGAUGGAAGUUGCCUCCCUCCCUUCGACACCACUACCAGAACUGGUCGACGCCGCCGGUCGCGUCCCUCUCUUCUCCGCGGUGACGAGCAUGGGCGGGUUCCCCACCAUGGCUUCCUCGCCGCCAACGGCGAGCGCGGUGCCUCCUCUCCACGCUCUGUAGAUCCGUCCCGGUGGAAACUCGAUGCAGGUUCUAUCAGUGAAAGGAUUGGAGACUGGUUCUAGUAGUGGUGGUUUGUUUGAUGAAUUUCUAGUGCCCAUGAUUUGCAAAGGGUUUCAGCCAGUACUGGCGUCUAGCAACCUUGAAGCCCACAGUUGACCUGCCUCCUAAUUUGUGUGAUGAGCAAAUGUGUAGAUUGUGUGUGUAAAUCGGAGAUGCCUUGGGUUAUGCCCUCGGAGAAGAUGGAUUGGUCUUGGUGAACGAGGUGGAGGUGAUCGAAGAGGCAAUAUGCUUAUAAAUCAUCUUCACAUCGGGUAUAUUUCUCUCGGCUAUGGGUGUACAUGAUAUGUUUGCCAAAACACUUGCAAAUUAUGGCACACUUACUGGUGAGAGAUCCAUAUGCCUGAUGCCUGAAGUGAAAAAUUGUUGCAAGAUGUCCUAUAAGGCUAUUAAGGCAGAUGAUCUUAUUUUCUCCAUUGUCCAAUAUUGAAGCUUUUGUUGCCCAUCAGCAUACAGCCAUACACCUCAUCCAGGUUCAUUUCCUAUAUACUGGUUAGAUACUACUUCAUAGUUGCUCUAGGUGUACUUUGAUUAGCGUCAUCUACUUGUCCCAUCAUCGACAAGGCUAUAUGAUUGCGAGAGAUUAAUAACUUUUGUGAUACGCGUUCAUUUAUGAACUAAAUCAUCAGCUUGCUCAAUAAUACUUUUGGGGUACUCGUGUGGUGUUUAUGGCUGAUGAAAUACGCUUUGUUUAAUAGGACUGGAGACAUUUCUGAUGCUUAGGUCAAAACACCGGACCUAUUCUUAUUUGUUUGUAAACUCAGUCCAGUAAUACAAGUUAGCAUUUUGUCUUAAUUGUUCUUGGAAUUAAAAAGGAAACCUUCUUGUUGUUCGUUCUACACCACUAAUCUGUUUAGCCAUCCUUGAGAAAGGCUCGACGGUUGGACGUGAAAACUAUAUUUGUUCUCCUUUUGCUUCUCUGGUUUAGUUUUAAAUUUAAUCUGGGUUGGCUGUUUGCAAUUGAAAAAAUGUUUGUUUCAUGGCUUCCUGUAAAUGUUGUUAGGCACUGUAGAAGCAGAAAUUUAGAAGGGAAUCACAUUACGGAAGAAGGUUCACAAGAAUGGAGCAUCACUCCUUAGCACGUCUACAGAAACAAUGGGGGUUCGUAUGUACAAUUGUGCAUAUAGCUUAGGUGAAGCGAUUUCUGAUUUGCGAAACUCUCUAUGUUAAGAUAAAGGGAAGAACUAUAUAAUGCUAAAAUUUCCAUUACUCCUAUAACUAUUGAAUCAAAUCAAAUCUGUUUUUAUUCUUUUGUUUGCCUGCUAUGAAAAAUGAGGUUGGGUACUAGUGUGUAAAUAGGCAGAGUGAUUCCAGAUUUGUAACACUCUCCUCGUGUUAAGUUGAAGCAAUACAAUGAUCCAAUUUACAUUAUACAAAUUUAUUUUUAUUCUCAUGAACAUGAAUAUUGCAGUAUUUUUUGUGUGUAAUGAAAAGUGAGUGGAUCACGUGCUGAAGUACCCCUUUAGACCAUUUUUUUUAUCUUUAGACUAAUUUAACAUGUGUUAUCUUUCUGGGAAUAUAAAGUCUAUUUGCAGAUGAUAAGUCUUAUGAUUGUGCGCCUGCAGCUCCUUCUAUAGGCCUUAAAGUACCUGACACGCAGUUAUUAUGGGCCAAUGAUAAUUGAACUCCACAUUGCUUCUGUUCUACUUACUUCGCCUUUGUUUCGUUCUUGCGCCAGCGGCGCAAAGGGUGGACUCUAGUGUACAAAAGAGUGAACAUGUAAUUUGUCUUCCUGGACAUGGUUGCAGCCAUGCGAUGUGCUUAACCAUUUGUGUAGCUCAGUUUGAAGAUAUAAAAUAUUAUUUUCUUAUGUAAAAUUUGUGUACCCUUGUAGCUGAAUGCUACUGAACACAUGUAUGGAUGAUGAAGUACUGAAUUAUUAGUCUAUGAAUGUUUCUAAACUUUUAAGGUUU